UACGUAGGGAGCAAGCGUUGUCCGGAAUCAUUGGGCGUAAAGCGCGCGUAGGUGGCCUCAUAAGUCCGCUGUGAAAGUCAAAGGCUCAACCUUUGAAAGCCGGUGGAUACUGUGGGGCUAGAGUACGGAAGAGGAGAGUGGAAUUCCUGGUGUAGCGGUGAAAUGCGCAGAUAUCAGGAAGAACACCCGUGGCUAAGGCGGCUCUCUAGUACGGUACUGACGCUGAGACGCGAAAGCGUGGGGAGCAAACAGG
This 253-nucleotide ribosomal RNA is filed under the name uncultured bacterium. RNAcentral's name for it is "partial 16S ribosomal RNA". It matches the Rfam family "Bacterial small subunit ribosomal RNA", at positions 524 to 776 of the family's 1533-position model. The record is from RNAcentral.